AACAGAAAGGAGGAGGAAGAAAGCGAGCGAGCGCAACCCCACCCUUCGAAAAGGUCGCCGUCCUUAAGAAAGCAGACACGGGGUUCCCUGAUCCCUGCGGGAAAUGCCCCGGCGUGGAACGCGCGACCCGGGCGCUGCCUGCCCUGCCACUCGCGGCCCCCGCCCUGAGGAGCCGGGUGCGCGGGUGCGCGAGCAGGUGACUUUAUUCACUGCUUCCCCAAUCGGAGAGGUCCCGGGACUCGUUUUCCGCCUGGAGAUUAAGAUCAUUGCUCGCGUAAUGAACUUAAUGCUUUAGGGUAGAGCUCUUCCUUGGGAGAGAAUGUGACGGACUGGUUGUCAGGCUGAUUGGGCCAAAAAGAGAUAUUCUCCCCAACCCCUCCUCCCGCCCCUCCCCGCCAUCAGCUACUCCCUCAAGGGGCGAUUUCCCACACUCUCUUCUUCACCGCCCUGUCCUGGGCCUUGGGAUUCCCAACCUCGUGUAGACUCUGCACCUGGCUACCUAAGUGCCACGAGAUGCCCCACAGUCAAGUGGGUGAGGGUGGUCAGGGAGAGGGAAGUGAAACGGGGUGACAUGCCGGGCCAUACAAGCACCCCACGACCCAGUUCCACGCCACUCCACCCGGCGUCCAAGCGCCUACCAGGGAGCUCCGCAUCGUCAGGUUUUUACUGUCUAUACAUCCGAGGGCCUGCUGGGAUCCGGAAGGCUGGGGAAAGUCUGCAGAGGCUUUAAAGUGAUCCCGAGGAGCUCCUACCUAAGGCGUUGAGUGCUGCCCACGGCUCCCCCACUGCGCCUGGCGGGUGCUGCCCGGGUCCCAAGUGCCCCCGGGCCCCAAGCUCUCGCAGUCCCGCUCCCAGAGUCGCGGCAGGACUGACCCAAGAGUCCACCAAGAAGCCUCUAGCCCACCGAGUCGAGCUGUUUGGAGAGAACGGGGCCCGGAGUCCCCCAGGAGGUGCCUCUCCACAACCUUCUGAGCUGACACGGGGUCGCCUCGUCUCCAGAGACGGAGUCUGCAGUCCCCUUAGACUUGACUUUUCAGUUGGGUUGGGGAGGGGAUAGGAGGUUAGUGGAGGUGCCGGAACCGCCCCCUUUCUCCCCUCACCCCCCGCCCCCGGGGGCUCUGGGCUCUACGCAGAGACCUGUCCGCCCUGCACCUGCCGGGGGCCAGGACUCAGGGUUAGGACUCAGUGGCAGCCGCGUUCCAGCCCGGAUCCCCUCAACUGCCGCCGCAGCCCGAAGGAUCUCUCGGCGCGCGGAGGCCGGCCCAGCCCCAGCCCCAGCCCCAGGCCACAGGCAUCUCCCUCCUGCCCGGCAGCAGACUCGGGGGGCGCUGCACUCGGCAAUGAAGCCUGAGCGCAAAGUCUGCGCGCCGCGUGGGAGACGCGGGCGGGAGGGGGCGCGUGGCGCUGGUGUUUUUUCUUUUCAGAACCUUUCGACUUCACUACAAAGUUUCUUCGUAGGCGCCUGGGCCCCGGGGUCGGAGCCUCCCACCGCCGCCCUUUCCUCUCCCUCCUCCCGGCCCCCUGGAGCCGAGCGAGCCGAAGCCUCCGGCUGCCGAACUUCACCUCCCCCUGCGGGGACCCCGGCGCCCUGAGCGCCGCCCUCCUCACCCCGUCCCCAGGCUCCGCGGGGGUGCCUCUCCCCGGGGCGAAGCUCGCCGGCCGGGCGCACUGGAAGGAGACACCCGCUGCCUCCCGAGGAACUCCUAAUACCAUCCAUACAGCUUUAAUGCGUUUAUAAUUCGAUAAGUGAUUUCAAUUUGAAAUUGUUAGUAACUAAUUUUAUGGGUAAUUUUUCCACAUCAAAUAUUUAAGCAUCAGAUUAAGGGAGCCAGUUCCGACACAGGAUAAUAAGGGGGUUUCCCCCCCACCCCCCGCGGUCCCCCGCCUCCCUCGGAUUCCUACCGAGUCGUUUUUCCAAAUCCCCAAAAGAUGGCAGUCGAAGCCGACAUUCUUCUUUUCCUGCGGCCCUGCGAAGGGAGGGGCAGAAAGAGGGAAGAGGGAAGGAGCGAGAGAAAGGGGGAGUGAGGGAGAGAGAGGCACAGGGAUAAGGAAAGAUACAAGAGAAAAGAGAGGGAGAAGCUAGACGUUGCACGGACUUUUCAAAUGCCAUUCUUUCACACAAGUCUAAUACAGGCAAGAAGCAGUGGUGAAUUUCCUGGAAAUGUCCUGGCAGAAAAGAAAGCCAAAAAACGUGCCUUGUGGGCUCAGAGCAGAGGAUGUGAGAAACUCAGCACUUUCAGGCUAACCCCUCCGUUCAGAGCAGAGGCAGGAGAGGGGAGCCUGGCUUUUGGGUAUUUCUUUGUAUUUAACAUUAUAUGCAUACUGUAGAACUCAGAGGCUGUUUCCUCCACAGGACUCUGCCAGUUACCUAAUGCGGGGUGAGGAAAGGUGAUGGGUGGGGGGCGGACUGCAGUGGGCGGAGGGGAGGCUGGGGCCAGAAGCGGAUGAAUUGCAGACCAGUUGCCAAAACUUUUUUUUUUUUUUUCCCUGCUGCUGCUGCUGCGGCUGCCUUUGCUGCUGCCUUUGCUUUGAAUGUGGGUAACUAGGAAACAGCAAGCCGUCUGAGAAGACGGAAUUUCCAACGUGUAAAAUGUUCUUAACGGAACCAUUGAGCGAGUGCAAUAAGGCGUGAGGGGGAACUAAUCUUCCCAUUUAAAUGUUUGUGGCAAUUUUAUCUAAAUGAAUUUUAAUGCUAAACGAGGGUAAUUCCCCAUUUGUAGCGCGUUUACUUCUCUUUCCUGUGCUUCUAAAGCAGUCGAACAUCAUGCAAUGAACAAUAACAAUAAAAAUACUGUCAAGGCA
This is a long non-coding RNA of Dama dama (fallow deer), 2802 nucleotides long. RefSeq lists it as uncharacterized. The record is from RefSeq and is a predicted model, not a curated record. Lineage: Eukaryota; Metazoa; Chordata; Mammalia; Artiodactyla; Cervidae. The transcript has 2 exons.